CUCCCAUCUGCCUGUUCCAUCUCUAGAACAGCUGUAGUUCAUGUGUUGUUUACUUGGUUUGUUAUGUGCAUAAAUAAUUUCUUAAAAUGGAUAAGUCAUUGGGGAUGUACUCAAUAAAAAUUCUGCGUAAUGCAAAUCGCAAAAGCAAAGUAUGGGAGUUUUUUUGGCAUCUUGCAAGUGACAACGACAACCGAAAGCAAAUGCAUUGAAGAGGACAAGGUUUUUUGUAAAUUAUGUUUGGAUGAGCAGAAAAAGAACGACGAAACAAUAAUAUUGUCAUGUGCUAAAAUUCAGUCGUAUUCCAAGAACUG
Molecule: long non-coding RNA, 311 nt
Organism: Drosophila obscura
Lineage: Eukaryota; Metazoa; Arthropoda; Insecta; Diptera; Drosophilidae
Exons: 3
Source: RefSeq, a predicted model, not a curated record